AAACUAGGAUUAGAUACCCUAUUAUUUUAAGCUGUAUGUUGGGAGUAAAUAAAAUUUAUGAAAUCAUAAAAUUUUGGCGGUAUUUUAAGCUUAUUAGAGGAAUUUGCCCUGUGAUGGAUAUAACGCCUUAAUCUUACUUAAUUUUGUUAAGUGCAGUUUGUAUACCACUAUAUUUAAAUAUAUUGAAUAAUCAUAUUUUUAAUUUUUUUAAAAUAAAAAGUAUAUUAAGUCAAGGUGCAACAAAUAAUUAUGAAUGAGGUGAAUUACAUUAAUUUUAAUAUAUUUUUGGAAGAUGAAAAUUAAAUUUUAGGAUUUAAUAGUAAGAUAUUAAUAUAAUGAAUGUUUGAAUAGAGCUCUAAAAUAUGCACAUAUCGCCCGUCGCUCAGAGGUGAGAUAAGUCGUAACAUAG
This 409-nucleotide ribosomal RNA is filed under the name Ixodes jellisoni. RNAcentral describes it as "partial 12S ribosomal RNA". Lineage: Eukaryota; Metazoa; Arthropoda; Arachnida; Ixodida; Ixodidae. The record is from RNAcentral.